ACAUGUCAUUUUUCAUAUCAGACCCUUUAUCGGCCCUCGUUCAUGAUAUUAGCCCUCGAGCCUGCAGCUCUUGGGCUGAUAUCAUAACCUUGGGCCGAUAAAGGGUCUGAUAUGAAAAAUGCCAUGUAAUA
Molecule: small RNA, 131 nt
Filed under: Mytilus galloprovincialis (Mediterranean mussel)
Lineage: Eukaryota; Metazoa; Mollusca; Bivalvia; Mytilida; Mytilidae
Source: RNAcentral